UACGUAGGGGGCAAGCGUUGUCCGGAAUCAUUGGGCGUAAAGAGCGUGUAGGCGGUUCGGCAAGUCGGCUGUGAAAGUCCAGGGCUCAACCCUGGGAUGCCGGUCGAUACUGCCGGACUAGAGUUCGGAAGAGGCGAGUGGAAUUCCCGGUGUAGCGGUGAAAUGCGCAGAUAUCGGGAGGAACACCUAUGGCGAAGGCAGCUCGCUGGGACGUUACUGACGCUGAGACGCGAAAGCGUGGGGAGCAAACAGG
This 253-nucleotide ribosomal RNA is filed under the name uncultured bacterium. RNAcentral's name for it is "partial 16S ribosomal RNA". It matches the Rfam family "Bacterial small subunit ribosomal RNA", at positions 524 to 776 of the family's 1533-position model. The record is from RNAcentral.